AUGUUCCAACCCACCGGCCGUGAGCUCGUCGGCCACUACCUCAUCCCCAGGGCGGGGCUCGGCGGCUUCUUCCUCCCCGGCGUCAUCGAGGAGGGCGUGGACGUCUUGUCCUUGCGGCCACGCGCGCUCUCCUUCCCGGAAAACCACAAGAGGGAUUACAGCGAGGUAUGGGGCUUCUUCUUCGCGGCAAAGCUCGCCGGCGAGACAUGCCCGACGCCGGGCGCGGGCAGGUGCUGGGUGCAGUACAGCCAGGAGAAGGCGUACUACGGCGGCGAGGGCGGCCGGGAGGAAGUGGCGUUCCGGCACAGGUUCGCGUACCGCUACACAUGGAGGGACGGGAGGUAA
Molecule: ribosomal RNA, 345 nt
Filed under: Triticum aestivum (bread wheat)
Lineage: Eukaryota; Viridiplantae; Streptophyta; Magnoliopsida; Poales; Poaceae
Description: partial small subunit ribosomal RNA
Source: RNAcentral